UACGAAGGGGGCUAGCGUUGCUCGGAAUCACUGGGCGUAAAGCGCACGUAGGCGGAUUUCUAAGUCAGGGGUGAAAUCCUGGAGCUCAACCCCAGAACUGCCUUUGAUACUGGGAAUCUUCGAGUCCGGGAGAGGUGAGUGGAACUGCGAGUGUAGAGGUGAAAUUCGUAGAUAUUCGCAAGAACACCAGUGGCGAAGGCGGCUCACUGGCCCGGUACUGACGCUGAGGUGCGAAAGCGUGGGGAGCAAACAGG
Molecule: ribosomal RNA, 254 nt
Filed under: uncultured bacterium
Lineage: Bacteria
Description: partial 16S ribosomal RNA
Rfam family: Bacterial small subunit ribosomal RNA
Source: RNAcentral